Rattus norvegicus (Norway rat) is the source of this 8650-nucleotide non-coding RNA. The record is from RefSeq and is a predicted model, not a curated record. NCBI's taxonomy places the organism in Eukaryota, Metazoa, Chordata, Mammalia, Rodentia, Muridae.
ACCCUCUUUUUAAAAUGUCCCUUACAGGGAUACUCAAACUUUGAGCUCCAGAAUUGAUGAGGACAUUUGUUCAUCUUGCAGGUGUCUGACCUCAUCCCAGAAGGGAUGGCCCACAUGUAGGGAGGAACCCAACCGAUAAGUUGUCAUUAUUCCAGUAAAUUCCAAGUGAUUCUAUUCUCAUCGGAAUCUGAAAAUCUCUGAUCUAGUCAGCCUUCAUUUUCACGUCUUCUAAAAAAAUAGGACCACUUCCUUCAAAGUCAUUGCUACAUGUUAUAAUCACAGUGCCAAGUGAUAAUUAAACAACCCGGCUUAGGAGUCAGGCUGCUGAAUAAUUCGCCCCCAAAUACCCAUGGAAAAUCACUUAAAAUUGUGCACCAGUGUCCUUAACUUGUAAAAUGUGGAAUAACAAUUCUUCAGGCAUUUGUCCUAUUUAGUGAACUAGUAUGUCUGUAACCUUUAGCAUAGUGCAAAAGUCCAUCCUAGGUGCCCAGCAGAUGUUGGACAUUACAAGUCCAAGAUUCCCACAAUUCCUCAUCAGAACCAGGCUGAUGGUUUGGUGUACCCACUUAUCCUGAGACCUGAGGCUAAUGCUGGAGGCUUUGCGAUUGUACGUUUCAGUCUGUGUUCAUGCAUUUUACUGCGAACUCUGACUCUCUAGUGAGCUAUCAAGGCUUGCUUGUCAAAAUGUACCCUGGACUAAUGCUGUUAGAAUUGCUGUAUAUGGGCUGGAGAGAUGGCUCAGUGGUUAAGAGCACUGACUGCUCUUCCUGAGGUCCUGAGUUCAAAUCCCAGCAACCACAUGGUGGCUCACAACCAUCUAUAAUGGGAUCUGAUGCCUUCUUCUGGUGUGUCUGAAGACAGCUACAGUGUACUCAUAUAUAAUAAAUAAAUAAAAUAUUUUAAAAAAAGAAUUGCUGUAUAUAAAAACCCGUUAGGAUUUUUGAGAAACAUCCUUGUUUUGUUCUUAAACACAUGUGUGUGCAGGUGAGUUUCUUAGAAAUGCAGGCUGUCCGCCCCCACCCCCAGGACCUACAGGACCAAACCCACGUUUUCAGCCGGAUUCCAGGUGAUUGCUCUGCAAACUUCUACUCAAGCUGCAGGCAUCCAGAAAUCCCCCAAAUUUCCACGAUGGAAGGCCUCACCCUGGAAAUGUUAUUAAGGAAAAAUCUUAAGUAACUUUCAACUUAUCUUUGAAAAUUUUACCAAAACCUAUUGAGAAAUAAGGCCGCUUGCUGCGGGCGGCCCUGAAAACCGGGGAAUCUUCUAGAAUUCCCACCCCGUUGCCCAAUCACGAGGCACGUACGGGCUGAAGACAGAAGCGAGGCAACAAGAACAACGGACUGUCCCCAAAGGACUCGCUGUGCCUCUGUGGUCUCUCUGUGUCUUUGCCUCGCUCUGUCUCCCAGCAGCUGAGUCUUCACAAGCAGUCAGCUCACUCAAGCAAGACAAAAUGCUUGGAAUGCCCCUGACUUACGUUCAGUUAUUCACACUCUCGAAGUCAUCCGCUUCACCAAGUAUGACGAGUCAGCGCCGGUUUGGUCAGCUGAGCGCACCGCCGCGGGCGAGUUCAAAGCAAUGGCCCAACCACUCUUCUAAAAGGUGUACACGUCAUCUGACAUAUUUCUUGGCUAUGAUACAAUUCCUGCCAAUGCUAAUCGGAAGACCUUGAUCUGGGACUUCCUAGCCCGGGACAGUGAGAACCGUCUUCUUCUGAGAUGAGCCUGCUUAAGACUUCCGGCUGCACCAGCCCAGACAGCACGAAGAAAGCCUAAAGUCGUCGUUGGUGUCACUGAUAGGGGUAACCCGUAAGGACAGGAAGCACGACAUGGCGAAAAAGUUGUGUUUCUAAUAUAAGACCAGAGUGAAGAGCUAUGCGGGUCAGGAGUCCAUCAUGUGUCAAGACACACCACUGAAGUCAGGGUGUUGGCAGAACCAUGUCCCUUCUUAGAUGAUAUCAGAAAAAGACAUUUUCUUGGCUUGCUCCAACUUCUAAAGGCUUCUCACAUUCCUUGGCUCCUGCCCACAUCCCCUAUCUUGAAGGACAGCAGCUGCCAUGUCAUGGGUCUUCCAUGACACCUGUUCCUCUAACCACAUCAGAAGAUUCCCUCUGAGAACUUUAAAAACAUGUGAUUUGUAAUGUGGGAUCUAUCAGAUAAUUUUAGAAUAUCUGUUCCUUGUGGUCUUAAUGUAAUCACAAAGGCAAGGCCCCUUUUAUAGUAUAAAUUAGUGUGGGGAGGCUAUAGAUUUGCCUGGGAGACAUGUUUUAUGACUAGCUAGGAAGGAUUGAAUAAAGAGGGAAAUAUCGACAUACACACUAUGUCUAUGUAGUGUUUAUGUAAUUUCUGCAAGCACUGGGGGCAGAAUGUGUGCCAGGCAGCUCUCAACCACAGUGACAAUAUGCCCAAGAUGAACAGCUAGAGAGGAGAAGAGACUUAUUUGGAUUUAUGCUUUCUGUCCGUGGCUAGUUUGCUACAUUGGCUUAAGUCCUAUGGUGAGGCCAGCCAUGGUCAAGCAAAGCUGUUCACCUCAUGCCAGCCAGGAAGCAAGUGAAGAAGGGCCAGGGUGCCAAUGUCUCUCUUAAGGACAUGUGUCCAGUACUGCUGCUGCCCCUUCUCCUCCUCCUGCAUCCUACCUCACACCGCCUUCUCAUCAAUUCCCCUCACUUCCUCCUCUUCCUCUUCCUUCUCCUCUCUUCCUCUUCCUCCUCACAUCCUCCUCUUCCCCCUCUUCUUCUUCCUUUUGGUUUUCCAGAUGGGAUUUCUCUGUGUAGCCCUUGGUUAUUCUGGAACUUGCUCUGUACCAGACUGGCCUCAGACUGAGAGAUCUGCCUGCUUCUGCCUCUGGUGUCCUGGGCUAAAGGUCUGAGUUGCUACCACUCAGCUCUUUUCCUUCUACUACUUUUAAGAACAUUUCCCUCUUUUUGGAGCCGAGACAGGGUCUUACUAUGUAACUCUGAGUGACCUAGUGACACAGGAAAAUUGGAGUGUCUUGAUCACAAUGGAGUCUUUCUCUGGUAGCUAGGAUCCCAGAAACUCAGCAGUUAUCAAAGCUGCCCUGAAUCUGCUUGCUUCUUUGCUCUUAAAUUGGAAGAAUGAAAUUCACUGACCAGUGAUGGUGAGUUUUAGAGAAAAAAAUUUAUUAUAGAUUUAUGGGUGGGAGCUCGAGAAGGAAAAUGGGGAAGGGGUUCCCUAGAAAUAGGAUACCAUGGGGCCUUUUAAAAAGAUUUAUAGCAGAAACCUCAGUGAGGUAGGAGGCAGGGAUGAGCUUCUAUAGGAAGAGGGGGUAGUAAGGGCCAGUUCAUGGUUAGAAAAGAUGGGACUGGUGUGGACUCUGGUGUGAGCAUGGAUAGCUAAUGUUGGAUGUCUGGGAGCUAUGAGUCAGCACAAAAUGGCUGAUAUCAGAUGUCCAGGGAACUGAAAAUAAAACAUGCUGUUGCUGUCAUAUAGCACUCCUGUCAGACUGCCACUUUUGUGUAGAUUUGAUAUAAAAUUGACCUCGAGGUCUGAGACAUGAGCCCUUUCAUUUCACCAGCCUGUCAGUGUGUCUGUCUGUGCCGGCUAGUGCAUGGGUGCCUGCUUGUCUGUGUGGUGGUCUUUGGCAGGAGUGAAUUGAGCUUAUUUCAUCGGCCUGAGACUUCUUUCGUCGUUUCCAAUCUCCUGGCCUCCAGUGACCCUCCUCCUUUCCCGGAAGCUUUGACCUCACAGCCUGUCAAUCCAGCUGUCUCACUUAGGGAAACUGGAGUAGGUAGCGUCCAGGCUUGGGGCUACUGUGUUCUUGUGUGGACAUGGUAUGCACAUCUUUUGGUGAUUGCAAGCACACACUUCUAUGACUUACACUUGGAUGCAAUCUUAGCAUUAUGAGGACUGGGUAUGCUUGGUCUCCUUGGACACUACCACACUAUAUUCCAAUGUGUUCCCAGCCAGCAGCGUACUUUCUGUAUUUUUUCUUUAUUACCUACCUGUUCUGUCCUGGAGUUCUGGAAGCUGGGGUUUGUCAGUGCGGAUAUGGCUGGCAUUCCCCUCACUGCACAGCACGGGCUGUCUUUGAACCCUGCUCGUUCUGCCGCAGCAUCCUGUGAGCUGAGAUACACUGAUCUGUACCAUCACCCCUGACUUAUAGCUUUGUUUUAUAGGCCUGGCUUUUUAGUUCUAAAAAUCUUAUUUAACUCCACGUCGACAUUAUUCAGUUCAAGAAAAUUGCAGAGUGUGGUGUGGAGGGGGGUUGCAGCCUAGUAGUAACCUGUUUGCCUAGUACAUUUGAGGUCCCGGGUUGAUUCCUGAUUAUAUAAAGUCUGUGUGCCAAAGAAUACAAUUUAAUAGCUUUGGGGGUGGGGAACCGCAUUCAUUUCCCUUUGUUUUGUAAUAAAAAUAUUCAUAGAUAGGGUGAAAAUAAUCUCUUUUUAAUUAUUUCCCCUAAGUCUAAUCGAAUGAAUUUCUGAUAGAUAUUUAUUAAUAAGUUACUAUAUACUAUUCAUUCCAGCUUAUGAUAUAGCCAUAUAAUAUGGCUUCCAGAAGGCAUCAUACUUGUGUAAGUUUUUGUCCUAUGAGAUGGUAAAACGCUUCUAUGCACAUAUGGAAAUCAAUAUCCCUCCCUCUCUUCCUCCUCUCCCUCCUUCUCCCUUUCUCUCCCUCUCCCUUUCUUUCCUUUUUUCCAAGGUCCCACACUAUAGCUCAGGCUAGCCUAGAACUCACUACGUAGUCUAGGCUAGCUUCAAGCUACUAUCCCGUUGCAUCAGCCUUUCUAGUGCUGCAAUUACAAGUAUGAGCUUCAAAGCCUAGGUGGCAUGUGAUGAUUCCUAAGACAUAAGCCAGUGGCCCUAUUCAUGACUUCAGUCUUGCUUGCCGUGCGGGCCCUCCUGCCUCAUGACAAUCUGGAUCUGAUUCUGAAUCCUCAGGCUGUGUAUCUAACAAGGAAAAGGAUUAUUAGAAAAGAGGGAAUUUAAUGAAGGGAGUUGGUGGCAUGGGUGAUGGGGUAGCUGAGGUAUAAAAGGUUAUGUUUCACCCCAAACAUAAGAGCAGCAGGGAGGCAUUUCCACCUUAGCCUGCUGGCACAGAGGUGAUAGGAUUAAAAACCAGGGCCCACUGGGAGCAAGAGCGAUCAUGGGUUUGUCAAAUGGAAGCAGAAACUUCAAUAAAGACAUUGCUCUAGCCCCGUAUCGGUCAGGGCACAGAAAAGGAAGGAACACCCUGCCUUCUCCCACUGCCUUCCAGACACAUGAUGGUGCCUCUUCCUGGCCAGUUUUCCUGGAAGAAGAGAAGGAAAUGGCUUGCAGUGGUCAGCAUCCCUGCUACAGAGCAGGAAAAAACGAAAGCAUGCACCUGAGAACAAACCCAGAUGGCUUCAGGCCUGUCACGUACAGCACUAGUCCUUCAGUUCUCGGAAGGGGAAAUCUGCAUUGGCCUGUAGAAUGCAAUUCUAUAGCCUUUACUGGGAAAAGGAUUCUCUGAUUUUGUUUUCGAUUAUCCUGGAUUUUAGACCAUUGACUUCUACGUGAAACAAAGGGUAGAAACACUUCCAGGGUUUGAGAGCCCAGUGUGACUGUUUCUGAAAGCAAGCCUUUGAUCUAGGGGUAAUCUACAUUCUCGACUGAGGCGUAGUCCAGUGCAGCUGCAAGACACACACGUAGGUGCUCUGGUCUGCAUGUUAACUCUCCGAUUAUUUGACUUUGAUGGUAGGAAGCCGUCGUUUGUCCUGGACCACUAUAUAUUUACAUAUGAUGAGAAAGCCUGUCCCCAAACAAUGUGAUCAGGAAACAUUACGGUUUCCUAGAUUAACUGCUUUUUAAAUUUGUUUUAUUAAUUUUUGUAGAUUCGAGGAUUGGAUAUACACUAGGCAAACACUCUAACAUUUAAAAAUCGUCCAGCCUGAGCCUCUUGUGUAUUUACUAGAAACAUUCUCUUGUCCUGGGUGACAUGUUCCCACUCUUCCUUACCGUCGCUAUUGGUUGAUUAUGAUGUUGGGGAUCAGACCCAAGCCCUGGUGCUUACUGAACAGCGACUUUACCACUGAGCUACACUCAGACCCUGGGGCAUGACGAUGUGAUUUAGUUUCUUCACUCAACUCCCAGUAGAGAGAAUUGAACCCAGGACUUCAAGCAUGCUAGGAAAGUGCUCUGCCACCGAGCUGUGUCUCCGGCCUGUGAUGUGACCGUUUUUUAAAACAAGAUUUUCAUGAAAGGCCAGGCAAAAUGGUCUUUGCAUAGUACAUCUACAGUUGCAGCACUCCCAAGGCGGAGGCAGAGGGUCACAAAUUCAAGGUCAUCCUGGCCUUUAUAAUGAGACCCUGUCUCAAAAAGAAAAGGGAAAGUCUUCAGUGAUGUAUACAGCCUACAUCGUCUGCUGUCAGGAGAGAACUGUGUGUUGUUUCGGAGGUGCAGGUUUUCACAUAGCCCAGGCUAGCCUUGAACUCGCUGCAUAGCUGAGGAUAACUCUGAAUUCUCAUUUCUCCUACCUCUACUUCCUAAGUGGUGUGGGUCACAUGACCAGUCCAGCAUCUCAUUUUUCAUCUUUGAAAUACUGACAUUUCUUUAACAAAAUCAUGAAACUCUGUGCCUCCCUUUAUAAACAUAAUGUAGUUUUUUUUUAAACAAAAAAAUCACUUACACAUUUUUUUCUCCUUCAUCAUGACAUUCUAUAAGCACAUUGUAUUCCACCCAAGAGGUGGUUAAAGCCAGCUUCUGGUGAAGACAGUGAGAGGGAAAAUCUAGUGAGUGUUCUAACAUGUUAUAGAUAGAUAGCUGACACAGAUACUCCUAUCAAGAUAAAGCAUGUGAUUGAUUAACAUUGCUAAAACUGCCUCAAUGAUUAACUCUAGCACUCAGAUUCGAGGAGGUGUUUACCCUUUAUUCAUUUCUGUAUGCGAAUUGUUUAUAGCAAGCAUGCUGGCUUAUCACACAUUAUAAUUUAUCAUGAAUAUGAUUACAACAUACUAAAAUCUCAGCACAGAAAAGUAACUAAAGAGAAAUACGCUAUUGUAUGAUUCCAACAGUUGCUUCCCGAUCAUGGGGUUGUGAAAGAUUUUUAAAAAUGACUAUUGCUUCAACAAACAAGACUCUGUGUGGGUUUCAUACUUUGUACCAAAAAAGGGGAGACGAAGCAGAUGAGAGGGUCAGAAGGAGUUUCUAGGGACGAACUGGGUAACUUAAAUACCUAAACAUGUUCACGCUGUUUCUCAGCUCACCUUGGAUUUUUCUCCUGGGUGUUGGUGGGAUCUAACUUCACACUUUCUAAUCGCCAGUAAUGCAUUUCAGAAUGCCUGAAGCACAGAGGGAUCAGGCUGCUUUAAAGGGCCAAAUGACUGGAGGGAAAGCCUCAAGGCUCCAACGGUUGAUGCCUAAGAUGCUUUUCCUGGGGACUCCCACUGAGUGUGUGGUCACUACUGUGCUAUUCAGACCCACCACUGACACUGAAAAUCCUUUUUAGGGAUACUUACUCCUAAGGGCACAGUUUGUAAGAAGUUUCAGUUUCUCCUUUGGUUUGUAAGAAGUGUCAGCACAGGCCAGAGACUGUCAGAAGCAUUAGAGUCUCAGGCUAGCGUGUUCUCAUGCCCACGGUAUCAGCUCACUUCUCGGAAGCUCACACAGCUUAGUUUUUCUCAGAAAUGUAGACCAUCCCAUGCAAAACAAUGUGGACAUUGGUUUUCCACCUCAGGGACUCCUUUCCUGAUAAACUGUCCUGUGGGCAGACUUCAGUGUGCCUGGCAAAUACUUGCGGUAGGUUUCUGAUGCCCCCAGGACUUGAACUGCACAGAUCACAAUCAAUCAAAGUGUACCGCUCCUGCCAGGAUCUCUGUUUUCUCAGCACCUACAGCCCUCCUUGGAUUCCCCUUCUAACUCAGGAAGAAUGGCAUAAGAACCAAAGGGUCACAGUAACCCACACAUCAGCAGGUGAGGUUUUCUUUGCAAAACACAGAAAAAACCCGAUCAGAUCUAUGAUGAUAUCUGCACUUGAGUCACCAAGUAGCCAUAGCAUUCGCCAUGGGGUUUUGCUGCUGGAAGCCAUCUCACUGAUGGAAAAUCACCGAAUUGCUUCAGCUCCCCGCUGUUGCGCUGUUGCGUUCGUAACUGGGAUGCCUCAAGGCUUCGUGGCAAGGGUUGCAGCUGGCAUAAAUAAUGUUGCUUUGUGACCUCAAACCUUUCCAAGGGCCAAAGCUAGGAAAAGAAAGAAGAGUUGGUUCAAAUGGCACAAAGACAGAAGUAUUAUUUAAGCCUGUGACAAUUUUUAGUCUCAUCUGUGCAUGCACAAAAAAAAAAUUUUUUUUUUAAAUCUAUUCUGCACUUGGGUACAAAGUACAUGUCGUACCCAGGAAGUUCAAAUGUCGAUUAUCAUUAUUAAUAUCCUUGGUUUCCUUGCUUGGUCAUUGCCAAAUAAAACAACCCAUUAAGUAAAAGCUGAUGCAGGAAAAAGGGCCGGGAGCAAAAUUGUCCCAGACAGAAAUGGGUAGCUGAGCCUUUCCAUCUUCCCAAGAGAGGCGUUUCCAGUGACAAGAACCAAGCUUGGAAGGAGAACGCCUGCGCAGUGUGUCAGGCUCACAACUGGUUUUUUGACAGUCGAAAGGAUCACCUAGAUGUCCUUGGUGUGCUUGAGACAGAAACAAGCAGUUCUGAAGGAAAAAAACAAAACAAAAAAAAAAAAAAAAAAAAAAAAAAAAA